CCUACGGGAGACAGCAGUGAGGAAUAUUGGUCAAUGGCCGAGAGGCUGAACCAGCCAAGUCGCGUGAGGGAAGAAUGUCCUAUGGAUUGUAAACCUCUUUUGUCAGGGAGCAAAGUCACCCACGUGUGGGUGUUGGAGAGUACCUGAAGAAAAAGCAUCGGCUAACUCCGUGCCAGCAGCCGCGGUAAUACGGAGGAUGCGAGCGUUAUCCGGAUUUAUUGGGUUUAAAGGGUGCGUAGGCGGGUUAUCAAGUCAGCGGUAAAAUCGUGGAGCUCAACUCCAUCCAGCCGUUGAAACUGAUGAUCUUGAGUGGGCGAGAAGUAUGCGGAAUGCGUGGUGUAGCGGUGAAAUGCAUAGAUAUAUGGAAGAACACCAGUGGCGAAAGCGGCUCUCUGGUCUGUAACUGACGCUGAGGUUCGAAAGCGUGGGUAGCAAACAGGAUUAGAUACCCCGGUAGUC
This 459-nucleotide ribosomal RNA is filed under the name uncultured bacterium. RNAcentral describes it as "partial 16S ribosomal RNA". It matches the Rfam family "Bacterial small subunit ribosomal RNA", at positions 338 to 795 of the family's 1533-position model. The record is from RNAcentral.